AUGGCAAGAUUGAAAA
RNAcentral lists this small RNA (16 nucleotides) under Arabidopsis thaliana (thale cress). RNAcentral describes it as "ATSL010370". The record is from RNAcentral. Lineage: Eukaryota; Viridiplantae; Streptophyta; Magnoliopsida; Brassicales; Brassicaceae.